RNAcentral lists this ribosomal RNA (258 nucleotides) under Staphylococcus aureus. Its description in RNAcentral is "partial 23S ribosomal RNA". It matches the Rfam family "Bacterial large subunit ribosomal RNA", at positions 2166 to 2423 of the family's 2925-position model. Lineage: Bacteria; Bacillati; Bacillota; Bacilli; Caryophanales; Staphylococcaceae. The record is from RNAcentral.
GGACGCCAGUCUGCAUGGAGCCGGCCUUGAAAUACCACCCUUUAAUGUUUGAUGUUCUAACGUUGACCCGUAAUCCGGGUUGCGGACAGUGUCUGGUGGGUAGUUUGACUGGGGCGGUCUCCUCCUAAAGAGUAACGGAGGAGCACGAAGGUUGGCUAAUCCUGGUCGGACAUCAGGAGGUUAGUGCAAUGGCAUAAGCCAGCUUGACUGCGAGCGUGACGGCGCGAGCAGGUGCGAAAGCAGGUCAUAGUGAUCCGG